CACUGAAAACGGCACGUAGGCAGCUACUUAACGACGCGCCCCCCACCACUCUGCUCCUUCUACUGUCCGCUGCACGUUACUUUGUAAUUGGGGAGUUUUUUAUGCCGGACCCUGUAGUUCAAGUAAUCUACCACAAGAAUGCGCUGUUCUACGCAUCCAAAUUGGUGGUACAAAUAAUGUACCACCGUACAACCUCGGUGAAACAUAAGGUGGUACACAAAUUGUACCACCAGACUUAAGAGUUAACAUCCACAUCUGACAGACAUGUGUUCUGCUUUGAAUACAUAUUCAAGAAGAAAAAUGAAAAAAAUCAAUGAACAGAAUGCCUUAUUGAUUGAAAAGCAGUACACUUAUCUUUAGUUCCUUGUAGCUGUAACUGUGAGAGCAUGUUUUGGUAUUAAUUGAGGUUCUGAUACACAAGAGUGGCUGAAAACAAUGAGCUGCAUUACAGUACAAGCCUGUACUGAAUGUUUACUGCAGCUGUGAUAAAUAUUUAUCUUUUGUUUGUCCUCAACACUCUGUACAUGCAAGCCCAGACUAGGCUUGAGUGAGUGACGUUACAAUGACACUCUGAAGGCAGAAGUGGAACUUCUUUGCUUGUCUGCACUUGACGGAACUGUAGUACCCUUGUAGACAGAACAGAACUCGGACCGGACUCCAAAAGAACUCAUACCAGACACCAGCAGAACAGGAAACACUUGUCCCACAUGGUGCCUUGUAACUACGCGAGGAAUGGCUUACGGCUUCUUUCUCAUUGGUGCCCGAUGAUGAUAACGCUUAGACAUACAGCAUCCCUGUGGCAGUGGAUUGCCAAUUAGCUGCAGGCGAUUACUGAUGAUACCACUCAUGUCACCUGCAACAGUGUCACAAGCCCACAUGCCAUGAGACACUGAGGAGAGGUAAUUUAAUCUAUGAUGCUGAUGCAAGGUCUGGUCAUUAGAAACAUUAUACUUCCAUCCCCCCUCUCAUUGCUGAGGAAAUACGAGCCACCACUUAGAUUUGAACCAACUUACCUCUGAAUCAAGUGCCACCACAGAGGCAUGUUUCUGUGAUAUUGUGGACGCCAGGGGGAGGGAAAUGACUGGUUGUAUUUAUUACAAUAAUUGCGUGGCUUUUUAACAUAGUUGAUUUUGAGGUAGCAGAGACUACACUAAGAGGUGAGGUUAUUAAUGUAGAUCCGGAGGGAAUGUUAGGAAGGCUGGUUGGGGAUAAAGAAGAUAGAUGUUGUUGGCAUCGUGUAGCUAACAGGGCAACUGGCUGGUGCAUUUCAGCUUUGCAGAGAUGGUAGAGAAGUUAAAAACUAAUUCUUGAAGCAUUCCUGUAGACAGAUGAAGAUAUGCUGCUGGGUAAGAUUUACAGUGACAAAAGGAGGAUGGUAUGUCAGAAAAGGAGCUAUACGGCAGAUAUAAUUGGGAGGGACAGCAUAGAUUUUUGGUUUAAACAUGGGGCUUCUAUGCCAAAUUUCAUCAAAGGCUUUUCAUUUUCUGGGGGAAGAAAUAUAAGCACAAGAGCUUUUGUUCCUUGCAGGAAAAGUAGUGAGAUAAGUCUGAGAAGCUGGUAACUUAUGGGGUACUUGUGACAGUAGCCACACUGGAUGUUGUGAAGGCGUAGGUGGUAUUCAAAGUGUUUCUUGAUACUGUGCAUUAGGACGGGUUGAAGCAUUUUACUGAAGUCAGGCUAACAGGUCUGUUGGAUCAGGAUGCAUAGCAAUGUUCACUGGAUUUAAUGAGUAGGACUAUUGUGGAGGACUUCUACAAUAAGAAAUUUUUUGAGCCAUUGGUCUUCUGACUGAUAUGAAGCAGCUGGCUGUGAAUUCCUCUCCUGUGCCAACCUUUUUGUCUCAGAGUACCAGUUGCAACUUUAAUCAAUUAUUUGCUGGAUGUAUUCUGCCGUCUGUCUUCCUCUACAAGUUUUGCCCUUUGCAAUUCACUCUUGUACCCCAGAGGUUAUUCCCUGAUGUCUUAACAGAUGUCGAAUCAUACUGCACCUUCUCCUUGUCAGUGUUUUCCAUACAAUCCUUUCCUCCCCGUUUCUACAGAGUGUCUCUUUGCUUCUUACCGUAUCAGUCCACCUAAUUUUCAACAUUCUUCUGUAACACCACAUCUCAAACUCUUCAUUUCUCUGCUGUUCUGGUUACAUCAUGCAUUAGCUUAACUAAUUUACAUUAAUUUAAUUUUAAAAUGAGAACUCAUGAGCCUUUACAAUCAUUUAUAAGUUCUCCUAAUAGAUUUAAGAUACGUGAAAUGUUUCAUUGUUACAGCCAACAACCAAUACAAGCUAAAUGGAUUGUGGCAUGGAAACACAAUGCCAAAUACAAUUAGUGUUCUGUCAUUUAUUCAUUUGCAACUUGCCACAGCAUCCUUGAGAUUAAAUGCUGAUCAUCACAAAGCGUCUUGCAAACUUGAAUGCACGCAGGGAACCUUUAAAUGGCCACAUUUAUGGGCAAAAUGGAAUCUUAGCUUUGAGACUAACAGAUACUGGCCCUGCAAAACUGAUGGUGGUAUUAAAAGAUACAAUCUUCUCUAAAUUUUACAACAUUUUUCUAGAAGUCAGCUUGGUCACUAACAAAAAUGCAUCCAUCAUCCACAAUGGUUGUCUGCUCCAGUUAAUUUUUAAAGUUCUCUUUCCAGUGAUUGCUUUCAGUUUCUACUCAAACCAAAGUUUAGUAAUCUUGCAUGAGCAGCUGCAUCAUUUUGGUAUCCAACAAGUGGCAUGGAAAAAUCAUUAUACAUGAAUUACAUGUUUGUUCUCUUUUUCAUGUCUCUAAUCUGUGGGAAGACGUAUUAAUCCACAAAUCUGGAGAUACUGUGUACGGGUGGAAGUUGUAUGUUAACCAGCAGAUAUCGGAGAAACCAGAGAAUUAUCCCAGUCCUCACAUGCUGUGCUGUAAAAAGGACACUGGUGAAUGAGUUGGCGACACUUCAGCUGCUCGUUCCUCGCCAAUGCUGCCAUGUGGGUCAGAUGUCACAGUAAGCUGACAGCUAAGCCAGAUACAGAUGUAAACAUUCCAUCAGAAGUGGAUGGGGGCACUUCCCUCAUCUUAAGAACAUGCCCACAUCUGGGGUUGCGGAGUGGCAAAACACAACAGCAAACCUUUAUAAUUUCAUGUACCAAUGGAACAAUGAGUCUACAUAGCAUAAUACAAAUGCAUAUCAUCGAAAUUCUCCAGCUCUACAUAUACAACCAACAAUCUUCAAGACAUCUAAUGAGGACAAGAAGUGUACAUAACGUUGUUGAAAAUGAAAACCAUUGAAAUCUAAACAAACAACAAAAGCUGUGAAAUAUACCAGUUCAUGUAAAACCUUAGUCAUUCUACCAUAAAUCCAAUGUAAUCUGAUUGACUACAUUCCGAUUUGUAUAACUAAUUUACUGUUUCAUUUACUUAUUUAUGUGCAUAUGUAAAUGAAAUUUUAAUUGACAUUCAUGGGAAUGUAUUGAAACAACAGUUUGUGUACAAACAAUUUUAAAUGAACAAUUGCACAUCGAAAAAUAUUUCAUUUUUAACUGUACUGAAAGGAAUAUAAACACUGAAGGCAAUUUAUAAAUGAAAUAGCUACAAGCCUUUGUGGGGGAAUUAAACAUUACAUGGACAGACUCAUUUUUACUUAAAUGUAACAUAGCAAAAAUGCCAGAAAGCACAAAAAUGUGCACUAAUCUAAUUUUUUUGCUAUAAAUAACUUCAUGCCUAAAUAACUUACAAUUACAUUCCACAAAAUUAAUGUACAUAAUUUCAUAAAUAACAUUUCAAAGAUAUAGUGGCAGUUGGCCUGUGGCUGACUGCAAUCAAUUAUAAUUGUUUUUUUUUUUUUUUGUUUUAAAAAGUAAGCGAAGAGCAUUCCUGCUUGGAUCUCUUUCUCACUUCUCUGUUAGCCGCUGCACUGAUAGGACACACUAUAGCUGCAUUCCUUGCUUAUCGGUAACUAACCUUUCUUUUGUGUAGACAAAUCGUAUGCAAGUGUCAUGUAUUAGCUUUAUAACCAUUUAUUAUUAAAUUAAUGUAUAUUAGUUAA
Long non-coding RNA from Schistocerca piceifrons (Central American locust), 4010 nucleotides. RefSeq lists it as uncharacterized. NCBI's taxonomy places the organism in Eukaryota, Metazoa, Arthropoda, Insecta, Orthoptera, Acrididae. The record is from RefSeq and is a predicted model, not a curated record. The transcript has 2 exons.